Molecule: long non-coding RNA, 1001 nt
Filed under: Monodelphis domestica (gray short-tailed opossum)
Lineage: Eukaryota; Metazoa; Chordata; Mammalia; Didelphimorphia; Didelphidae
Description: lncRNA (ENSMODG00000035065.2)
Source: RNAcentral
AUGGGGAUUUAUACCUCACACUCCUCAAAGGAAAUUGGCUCACAAAGACCCCCAGGCAUUGUCUGGUCAUAUGUGGGAGGCAGCAGCAGCAACAACAACAGCAACAGCAACAACAGCUACAGGAGGAAGAAGAGGAGCAGUGAGGGUGGCAGAAGCUUUUAAAAUUAAUCUGUUUUUUUGUCUAUUAAAAAAAAUGUUCUACCAAUUUAGAGAGGAACAAGGGUUCUAAACUCCAGACUUCUGUUCACCUACAAUGUAAAAUUUAAAUAUCCAGUAACUCCAAGAAUUAUAUUUUAUAAGAUUUAUUAGUAAUAACUUGAAGUAGAAGAAAUACAAGAACAAAAGUAAAAACCUGAGUAAAGCCAUGUGAAUAAAGUUCUUCUGCUUGGCACUCACCCAACUGCCACAACCACCUUCCAGGGAACAGAGAGCAAGGGUGGAGAUCGAACUGUUUGCCAGCACUAGAAGGGGGAAGGAAAGGGAGGGAUCAAGACAAUUUGGAUCACAUAUCUUCAGAAAACUUAUGUGGAAAUUUAUUAUUACAUGGGCAAUAGGCGGAGUCAUUCGAGACAGAAGGCGAGCACUGAUAAUAGAAGGAAAGGUUUAUCAAUUAACUUCGGAGCAGCUUUGCUCUGACAACUACAGGACCCCUCCCCGCCAUUUCACUAGCAUCAUGCUUCGGAAGCUGCGCGAGAACACUUUGGGUUGUGGGACGCCUGCAACAAUGAAUUAUCAGUAAGUUGCAAUAGCUGUCAGGGCCUCUCAUGAAACAUACUAGCCCUGUCCCGACAAGGAAGUGACAGAUUUAAGAUCCACGAUAAAACAAACAUUUCUGGACUUGACCAGUGUGGUGAUUUCUUUUGCUCUCCUCUGCAUAUUUGUUCCAAAGAUCGACUUUAUCUUUUUUUUUUUAUUCAAUGGGGAGUAGUGCAGAAUAGAGAAAAAAAAACAAUUUAAAAAAUAUAAAGAAAAUUAUGAAAAUAAAAGCAGUCCUGACCCCA